AAUAGAUACCCCUGGUAGUCCACGCCGUAAACGAUGAGUGCUAAGUGUUAGAGGGUUUCCGCCCUUUAGUGCUGCAGCUAACGCAUUAAGCACUCCGCCUGGGGAGUACGGCCGCAAGGCUGAAACUCAAAGGAAUUGACGGGGGCCCGCACAAGCGGUGGAGCAUGUGGUUUAAUUCGAAGCAACGCGAAGAACCUUACCAGGUCUUGACAUCCUCUGCCAACCCUAGAGAUAGGGCGUUCCCCUUCGGGGGGACAGAGUGACAGGUGGUGCAUGGUUGUCGUCAGCUCGUGUCGUGAGAUGUUGGGUUAAGUCCCGCAACGAGCGCAACCCUUGAUCUUAGUUGCCAGCAUUCAGUUGGGCACUCUAAGGUGACUGCCGGUGACAAACCGGAGGAAGUGGGGAUGACGUCAAAUCAUCAUGCCCCUUAUGACCUGGGCUACACACGUGCUGCAAUGGAUGGUACAAAGAGCUGCGAACCCGCGAGGGUAAGCGAAUCUCAUAAAGCCAUUCUCAGUUCGGAUUGGU
RNAcentral lists this ribosomal RNA (528 nucleotides) under uncultured bacterium. RNAcentral describes it as "bacterial SSU rRNA". It matches the Rfam family "Bacterial small subunit ribosomal RNA", at positions 777 to 1302 of the family's 1533-position model. The record is from RNAcentral.